UCAUCUCCAACGGAGAACCCUAGCCGCCCUGAACCAUAGCCUUCCUGUCGCCAUCCUUCGUCCCCUGGUGUCGCCAUCCUCAGCCCCAGUAACCCUCCAAUCUCCAUCGUCGCCUUCGCCUGGUUCCUGCCCAGUAGCCCUCCAUCUCCAUCCUCUGCUCAUCUUCUCAACACCAGCACCGCAGCACGCAGUCAACACCGGUAGCCCUCCAUCUCCAUCGCGCGGUCCUCAACAGUCAACACUCAGCACCGGUAGCCCUCCAUCGACCCCAGGUGAGUGACUCGUCCUCUGCUUAUCUUCUUUGUUCUUCGCCUCUGCUCAUGUUCUUCCAUCGACCCCGGUAGAAAUCUUGCAUGAAAUUGAUACUCUGUG
This 372-nucleotide long non-coding RNA is filed under the name Arachis ipaensis. RNAcentral describes it as "long non-coding RNA (AIPA_LNC002126)". Lineage: Eukaryota; Viridiplantae; Streptophyta; Magnoliopsida; Fabales; Fabaceae. The record is from RNAcentral.